GAAAUAAAAUGGAAAAUGCAUUGUUUAUGAUUAUUAUUUCAGGAGUUUCACUAUACUACAGCUACGAUCAAACAGCACUAGCAAUUUGCACAGCAGAAACUAAUGGCUCCAUGUUAUUUUAUGCAAGAGUUCUUGCUGUCAGAAGAAGUUGUAGGAAUAAAGAAAAGUGUGAAGAUAUUUGCAAAAAAAUAGGUUCAUCAUACCACUGUUUCGACGCCGUUCACAUCUACGGCAGGUCUUCUUCGAAAUACCUUUCAGCAUACCGCUAUCUGUUUGAAGGUUGCGGGGUGACAGUAUGUGGUCCAAACUAUUGCUGCUGUGGAAAAAAUUAGAUAAGCUUAGAAUCUAGCACACUGUGACAAGAGAUCAACUAUUUAAAAAGAUAUGAAUCAUUGUUACUGUGACUAGUAUCUGCAAUAAAAUUAUCAAACAUUUA
This is a long non-coding RNA of Mytilus californianus (California mussel), 436 nucleotides long. RefSeq lists it as uncharacterized. The transcript is spliced from 2 exons. Lineage: Eukaryota; Metazoa; Mollusca; Bivalvia; Mytilida; Mytilidae. The record is from RefSeq and is a predicted model, not a curated record.